CCUACGGGGGGCUGCAGUCGAGAAUAGUCUACAAUGGUCGAAAGACUGAUAGUGCGACGCCGCGUGAACGAAGAAGCCCUUCGGGGUGUAAAGUUCUUUUAUAUGUGAGCAGUGGGUUCUAUGUGAACAGCAUGGGAUCAGAGAUAUUAGCAUAUGAAUAAGCAACGGCUAACUCCGUGCCAGCAGCCGCGGUAACACGGGGGUUGCAAGCGUUGUCCGGAAUUACUAGGCGUAAAGGGCAGGUAGGCGGAUCCAUAAGUUUUUUGUUAAAGGCAACGGCUUACCCGUUGUAAGGCAGGAGAUACUGUGGAUCUGGAAUGCGGUUGGGGAAGACAGAAUUCCUGGUGUAGCGGUGGAAUGCGCAGAGAUCAGGAGGAAUACCGAAAGCGAAGGCAGUCUUCUAAGCCGUCAUUGACGCUAAACUGCGAAGGUGUGGGUAUCAAACAGGCUUAGAUACCCCAGUAGUC
RNAcentral lists this ribosomal RNA (467 nucleotides) under uncultured Spirochaetota bacterium. RNAcentral's name for it is "bacterial SSU rRNA". It matches the Rfam family "Bacterial small subunit ribosomal RNA", at positions 338 to 795 of the family's 1533-position model. The record is from RNAcentral. Lineage: Bacteria; Pseudomonadati; Spirochaetota.